Molecule: long non-coding RNA, 701 nt
Filed under: Marmota monax (woodchuck)
Lineage: Eukaryota; Metazoa; Chordata; Mammalia; Rodentia; Sciuridae
Source: RNAcentral
AGGUGAUUAAUUCAUCAAUUGGGUUAAGGCUCUCACAACCUAAUCAUUUCUCCUUCAAACCUUCUUAUUGUCUCACACAUGUGUUUUUUGGGGACAUCUCACAUCCAAACCAUAAGACUUAUUUAUUUUUGGUGCUGGAGAUCAAGCUUAGGGUCUUGCACAUGCUGGUUCAUGCUGUACUACUAAACUACACUCCAGCCCACUUUUAUUAUCCUUGAAUACUUUUUAUAUUUACCUGUAUUAAACAAAUACUUAAAAUGAAAAUAGUCCUGAAAUUAUUUUCUUAAUAAAUAAACAUUAUUUAUCUGGUAAGAAUAAAAAAGAAUUCUUGAUUAUUUUUCUCCCUUCUGGUGGUUGAAAUGAACUACAGUCCUCAAAUGGACAGCAACACAAGAAUUCCCUUGAAGACCACUUUCUUUUGCAGAAAUGCAAAGAUGCGGGAGACACACCUUGAAGUGUUGUUAUUCUCUAGGUGAAAGUGCCAACUACUGUGCUUUCGAGUAUAUUCGUAAUUACUGCAUUGUCCUCCUUUGAGUUCCAUGGCAGGAAAUAGAAUUUCUUCUCACGUUAUGGGAGUCUUUGGAGAAACACGGGACCCAGCUGAUGUCCACGCUCAUCAGCUGUGGGAUGGGGCAGGACCCGAAGCCGAGGUGCGCAAGUUUCCCUGUGUGCACAGGGGCUCUUGUCACGGUUAGGAUGAG